This 994-nucleotide ribosomal RNA is filed under the name human gut metagenome. RNAcentral's name for it is "bacterial SSU rRNA". It matches the Rfam family "Bacterial small subunit ribosomal RNA", at positions 332 to 1328 of the family's 1533-position model. The record is from RNAcentral.
CAAACUCCUACGGGAGGCAGCAGUGAGGAAUAUUGGUCAAUGGUCGGCAGACUGAACCAGCCAAGUCGCGUGAGGGAAGACGGCCCUACGGGUUGUAAACCUCUUUUGUCGGAGAGUAAAGUACGCUACGUGUAGCGUAUUGCAAGUAUCCGAAGAAAAAGCAUCGGCUAACUCCGUGCCAGCAGCCGCGGUAAUACGGAGGAUGCAAGCGUUAUCCGGAUUUAUUGGGUUUAAAGGGUGCGUAGGCGGCACGCCAAGUCAGCGGUGAAAUUUCCGGGCUCAACCCGGACUGUGCCGUUGAAACUGGCGAGCUAGAGUGCACAAGAGGCAGGCGGAAUGCGUGGUGUAGCGGUGAAAUGCAUAGAUAUCACGCAGAACCCCGAUUGCGAAGGCAGCCUGCUAGGGUGCGACAGACGCUGAGGCACGAAAGCGUGGGUAUCGAACAGGAUUAGAUACCCUGGUAGUCCACGCAGUAAACGAUGAAUACUAACUGUUUGCGAUACAAUGUAAGCGGUACAGCGAAAGCGUUAAGUAUUCCACCUGGGGAGUACGCCGGCAACGGUGAAACUCAAAGGAAUUGACGGGGGCCCGCACAAGCGGAGGAACAUGUGGUUUAAUUCGAUGAUACGCGAGGAACCUUACCCGGGCUCAAACGCAGGGGGAAUGCCGGUGAAAGCCGGCAGCUAGCAAUAGUCACCUGCGAGGUGCUGCAUGGUUGUCGUCAGCUCGUGCCGUGAGGUGUCGGCUUAAGUGCCAUAACGAGCGCAACCCCUACCGCCAGUUACCAUCGGGUAAUGCCGGGGACUCCGGCGGCACUGCCAUCGCAAGAUGCGAGGAAGGCGGGGAUGACGUCAAAUCAGCACGGCCCUUACGUCCGGGGCGACACACGUGUUACAAUGGCAGGUACAGAAGGCAGCCAGUCAGCAAUGACGCGCGAAUCCCGAAAACCUGUCUCAGUUCGGAUUGGAGUCUGCAACCCGACUCCAUGAAGCUG